AAAAUAAUUUGAAAAAUUAAAAUAUACUUAAUUAAUAUUAAAAUAAUAAAAUAAUUUUAUUUUAAAAACAUCUAUUCUUAUAUUAUAUAAAAGAAUAAUUAAUAAUAUAAUUGAUAAACCUAAGUGCCAGCAAUCGCGGUUAUACUUAUAAUUUUAUUAUAUUUUAAAUUAUUAAAAUUAAUAAAUCUAUUUACUAAUUAAUACAAAGUAAAAUUUAAUUAAAUAAACAUAAAAUUAAUUAAUUAAUAUAAAUUUUAAAUUUAAAAUAGGAUUAGAUACCCUAGUAUAUUAAAAAGUUUAGGUAGUAAAAAAAUUUCUUAAAACCUUAUUAUAAUGGCGGCAUUUCAUCUUAUUAAAGGAACCUGUUUUUUAAUCGACAACCCACGUUAAUUUUAACUUUAAUUAUAAAAUUUAUAUACCGCCAUCUAAAAAACUAAUUUUAUAAUAAUAUUUUUAAUAAAAAAUAAAAAGUUAGGUCAAGGUGUAAUCUAUGUUAAAGUAAAUAAUGGGUUACAUUAAAAAUAAUUUAAGGAUUAACAUAUUAAAAUAUAUUAUAAAAAAGGAUUUAAAAGUAAUAAAAUAAUAAUAUUUUAUUAUGAUUCAGAUAAUAAAUGUGUACAUAUCGCCCGUCACCCUUAUCAAAAGGUAAGGUAAGUCGUAACAUAGUUGAUAUUUUGGAAAAAGUAUCAA
Molecule: ribosomal RNA, 690 nt
Filed under: Pardosa laura
Lineage: Eukaryota; Metazoa; Arthropoda; Arachnida; Araneae; Lycosidae
Description: 12S ribosomal RNA
Source: RNAcentral